Molecule: ribosomal RNA, 460 nt
Filed under: uncultured bacterium
Lineage: Bacteria
Description: partial 16S ribosomal RNA
Rfam family: Bacterial small subunit ribosomal RNA
Source: RNAcentral
CCUACGGGAGGCAGCAGUGAGGAAUAUUGGUCAAUGGACGAGAGUCUGAACCAGCCACGUAGCGUGAAGGAUGAAUGCCCUCUGGGUUGUAACCUUCUUUUAUAAAGGAAUAAAACGAGGCACGUGUGCCUUUUUGCAUGUACUUUAUGAAUAAGGAUCGGCUAACUCCGUGCCAGCAGCCGCGGUAAUACGGAGGAUCCGAGCGUUAUCCGGAUUUAUUGGGUUGAAAGGGAGCGUAGAUGGGUUGUUAAGUCAGUUGUGAAAGUUUGCGGCUCAACCGUAAAAUUGCAAUUGAUACUGGCAGUCUUGAGUACAGUUGAGGUAGGCGGAAUUCGUGGUGUAGCGGUGAAAUGCUUAGAUAUCACGAAGAACCCCGAUUGCGAAGGCAGCUUACUAAACUGUGACUGACACUGAUGCUCGAAAGUGUGGGUAUCAAACAGGAUUAGAUACCCGAGUAGUC